GCCGGGUGUGGUGGUGCAUACCUGUAAUCCCAGUGGCUUGGGAGGCUGAGGCAGGAGGAUUGCAAGUUUAAAGCCAGCCUCAACAAAAGUGAGGUGCUAAGCAACUCAGUGAGACCCUGUCUCUA
RNAcentral lists this small RNA (125 nucleotides) under Marmota monax (woodchuck). Lineage: Eukaryota; Metazoa; Chordata; Mammalia; Rodentia; Sciuridae. The record is from RNAcentral.